GGGCCUAUAGCUUAGUUGGUAGAGCACUAGUUUCCGGAGAUUAGGGUUCCUGUUUCGAUUCCAGGUAGGUCCA
Molecule: transfer RNA, 73 nt
Filed under: Salmonella enterica subsp. enterica serovar Typhimurium
Lineage: Bacteria; Pseudomonadati; Pseudomonadota; Gammaproteobacteria; Enterobacterales; Enterobacteriaceae
Description: tRNA-Arg
Rfam family: tRNA
About the family: Transfer RNA (tRNA) molecules are approximately 80 nucleotides in length.
Source: RNAcentral